Long non-coding RNA from Balaenoptera acutorostrata (minke whale), 452 nucleotides. RefSeq lists it as uncharacterized. The transcript has 3 exons. The record is from RefSeq and is a predicted model, not a curated record. NCBI's taxonomy places the organism in Eukaryota, Metazoa, Chordata, Mammalia, Artiodactyla, Balaenopteridae.
GUCGUCCUAAGAGGGAGCCUAGGAGAGGGUGAAGCAAAGGGCAAAAGAUUUCUUCCUAACACCUUGGAGGAGAGAGAGAACGGUUUCCCCGUGUGUAUUAAGAUUAAAAUGAUCCUUGAAGGAAGGAGAACCUGGAGACGUAUACUUACAAUGGAGAGUGACCAAAAAGCUUCUAUCAGUGCUCAGCCUGGGGUGGGCUAGAACCUAGAUGGUCGGCUCAUAGAAGAUAUUCCCCCUCACCCCACAUAAACUCAGCUCACUCUUAUUGAUGAGGAAUGCUGAAAUGGGAAGAACCUAGGAAACAGAAGCCCCAGGACUCUUGUUGCACCCUUGCCAGCCCACCUGGGUGCUUGGCAAAUGUCUCAAGAUUUGACAUAGCUAAUUCCGAAAGUCAGAUACUAUGAUAAAGAAAUGUGGGGGGAAAAACUAUUGACCUAUUUCCUGGAGAAAGA